RNAcentral lists this ribosomal RNA (427 nucleotides) under uncultured beta proteobacterium. RNAcentral describes it as "bacterial SSU rRNA". It matches the Rfam family "Bacterial small subunit ribosomal RNA", at positions 355 to 774 of the family's 1533-position model. Lineage: Bacteria; Pseudomonadati; Pseudomonadota; Betaproteobacteria. The record is from RNAcentral.
UGGGGAAUUUUGGACAAUGGGCGAAAGCCUGAUCCAGCCAUGCCGCGUGAGUGAAGAAGGCCUUCGGGUUGUAAAGCUCUUUUAGUCGGAAAGAAAGAGUUGCAAUGAAUAAUUGUGAUUUAUGACGGUACCGACAGAAAAAGCACCGGCUAACUACGUGCCAGCAGCCGCGGUAAUACGUAGGGUGCGAGCGUUAAUCGGAAUUACUGGGCGUAAAGGGUGCGCAGGCGGUCUUGCAAGUCAGAUGUGAAAGCCCCGGGCUUAACCUGGGAAUUGCGUUUGAAACUACAAGGCUAGAGUGCAGCAGAGGGGAGUGGAAUUCCAUGUGUAGCAGUGAAAUGCGUAGAGAUGUGGAAGAACACCGAUGGCGAAGGCAGCUCCCUGGGUUGACACUGACGCUCAUGCACGAAAGCGUGGGGAUCACACA